RNAcentral lists this transfer-messenger RNA (141 nucleotides) under Candidatus Pelagibacteraceae bacterium. RNAcentral's name for it is "partial transfer-messenger RNA". It matches the Rfam family "transfer-messenger RNA", at positions 230 to 374 of the family's 374-position model. Rfam says of the family: Bacterial tmRNA, also known as 10Sa RNA or SsrA, is named for its dual tRNA and mRNA-like properties. Its role is to liberate the mRNA from a stalled ribosome. The record is from RNAcentral. Lineage: Bacteria; Pseudomonadati; Pseudomonadota; Alphaproteobacteria; Candidatus Pelagibacterales; Candidatus Pelagibacteraceae.
UUCUUAAACUUAAGGUAACUCGCUUUUAUAUUUGCUUGCUUGUUGGUGAAGUAAAAGUUAAACAUAAACAACAUAGCUAAGUAUGUAGAACUGUCUGCAGAGGGCUUGCGGACGGGGGUUCGAUUCCCCCCAGCUCCACCA